UGCCAGCCGCCGCGGUAAUACAGAGAUGGCAACCGUUGUUCGGAAUUACUGGGCUUAAAGCGCACGUAGGCGGAUAGAUAAGUUGAUUGUGAAAUCCCACGGCUUACCCAUGGAACGGCAGUCAAAACUGUUUGUCUCGAGUGCGGGAGGGGAGAGUGGAACUCCUGGUGGAGCGGUGAAAUGCGUUGAUAUUAGGAGGAACGCCGGAGGCGAAAGCGACUCUCUGGCCCGCAACUGACGCUGAGGUGCGAAAGCUAGGGGAGCAAACGGGAUUAGAUA
This 279-nucleotide ribosomal RNA is filed under the name uncultured bacterium. RNAcentral's name for it is "partial 16S ribosomal RNA". It matches the Rfam family "Bacterial small subunit ribosomal RNA", at positions 506 to 784 of the family's 1533-position model. The record is from RNAcentral.